Molecule: long non-coding RNA, 2389 nt
Filed under: Cervus hanglu yarkandensis (Yarkand deer)
Lineage: Eukaryota; Metazoa; Chordata; Mammalia; Artiodactyla; Cervidae
Description: lncRNA (ENSCHYG00000011438.1)
Source: RNAcentral
GAAACCCCCAGAUCACCCCAGUUAGAGUAAUUCUUCUUAACUGCUUGUGUGAAACAUCAAGUGUAACUGCACUUUCUUCACCUGGAAUUCCAGAUCACCCUCCGGAAGCAUUUCUCAGCGCUCUCACCAGCGGUUUCCGGGCCUUAACCGAAAAACAGAAUGAAUAGUCAGUACGUUAGAUUCUCGAAGUCCUCUGCAUCAAUUAUAUAUUCCAGUGUUUCACUGAAUCGACAAACGUUAACUCAGUGACGUAGGUUCUAUAAUCUUCAUUUUACAGGUGAAGAAUCUGAGGCACAGAGAAGUCACUUGGCUGUGGUCGUAUCAUGGAAGUGGAGAAGGGAGGGCUUGAACCGUGGCAGUUUUGUUACAGAACUGACCUUGCGAGCAAGACCGUGACAUCUCUGAUCCUGCUGCUGCUGCUGCUACUAAGUCACUUCAGUCGUGUCCGACUCUGUGCGACCCCGUAGACGGCAGCCCACCAGGCUCCCCCGUCCCUGGGAUUCUCCAGGCAAGAACACUGGAGUGGGUUGCCAUUUCCUUCUCCAAUGCAUGAAAGUGAAAAGUGAAAGUGAAGUCGCUCAGUCGUGUCCGACUCUCAGCGACCCCGUGGACUGCAGCCUACCAGGCUCCUCCGUCCAUGGGAUUUUCCAGGCAAGAGUACUGGAGUGGGGUACCAUUGCCUUCUCCGAUCUCUGGUACACUGGUGCCCAAAAGGAAAGUGACUUUCUUUAGCUCAUGCAGAAUGUAUAUGACCAGUGACGUAACAGAAACAUGGAGAAGAGAAGAAAUUGUUCAGGGUCAUUUUAGUAGAGAGUAGCGAAUCUGGGAUACUCAUUUCCAAUGGAGACAAUCAGUACUUCAACAGCACCCCACCAUCGGCUGCUUCUUUUGAUGUAAAGUAAGUGGAGGAAUGAAUGGGCACUGGAUUUUUGAAGAAGCUCUCUAAGAAUAAAAAUAAAGGUAGAAAGUAAAUGAAGAUGGAUGGACGCAAGGAGGAGCCUGAGAGAGGCUCCCAGCCCUUGGGCAGGCAGAGAAGGAGAAGGGGUGAGAGUGGAAGAAUAAAGAAAGGUCCCAGGUGCUGGAAAAGCUGGUGUUAAAGGACAUGCAUGGUUUCCCUCCCUGUGAUUCCCGAGCAGCUCCUAGAAUAGAUCCUGUUGCAUAUUUCUGGUUCCAGGGAGGGGUCAUUUGAAAGAAGGCUUAAUGAUUUCUUGGAGUGUCCUAAAAUCCUGAAAUACCUCCACGAAUCUGAAAUUCUUUUUGAUGACAAAUAUGUCACCUACAGUUAGAGAGAAAAAUAAAUUCUGAUUGAGGGAGGAGAGACACUUGUUUUGAGUGCUAAUUAAUAUCAGGCGCAGUAAAGAAGAAGUCCUACAUGUAUGAUCUCAUUUAAUUUUUUUAGCAGCCUAUGCAAGAGACUAGUAGCUCCAUUUAGUAAACAAAAAUGAUGAAAUGGAGAGGUUAAGAGACUGUUAACUUUCAAUGUGUGACUAUGCCUUUUUUGAGCCAGUAAAGAAGACUCUGUGUCAGGAGGUAUUUUUGUCAUAUAUGAGUACAUUUGGUUUGGCUUGAAAUAACUGCUGAAGAUUUUUUAAAACAAAGUGCUUGCUAAAGCAACACGUUUUCAGAGGAUGCAUUGAUUGAGGUAUCACUGUUUUGCACAUAGAGCAAUUAUAGUAACGUAUGAUUCUUGGAAACAUGAAUACCUAGUGCUAUUGUUGUCAUUUGUAAAUUGAAAAGGUGUUUGUGUAGAAGCAGACGUUUCCUCAGUCCUGGUACUAAAACUUUUUAAGGACUAUUUAAGUUUUUUUCCCCCAAAUAUGUAUUUUAAACAAUUUUUUCCCAGUAAGACAAGAAAAAGUGGCUUACUAUUAUUUUUUACAGACCAAUAAGGUCCUUGAGCUAGGAAAUACUAACUCACUUCUCUUUUUUAAAAAUUAAUUAAUUUUAAUUGGAGGCUAAUUACUUUACAAUAUUGUAGUGGUUUAUAUUGCAUGGCUCUUAAAGUUAUGCAGCCGGCUGCUUUCACUUUUGCUUCUGAAGAACUUUCAAGUUCUUUGUGAGCAGAUAAACAUUUCCCCAAACAUUUCAGAUUUUGUUCUGUUGGAUGAUUGAGAUAAUUUUUGAUUUGGAAUUAAACAGCUGUUAAAAUGUACUCAAGUACCCACCAUGUUAACCUUCACUGGCAAGGAUUUAGGACUCACAGUCUCCUAACAUCUGUGUUUCAGAAAGAUUUGCAGUCAGGAGUUGUAGGGUGUGUGGCUGAAAUGGCUCCAUGCAGCACAGACUGACCUUGAACUGGGGACUUUUCUCGGCCAGUUUGCAUCAGGAAAAUCCCUCCCGCAGCCCAGGGUCUCCCUUGACUGCUCCAGAGCCAAAAGCUGUCGUCAGA